AGAGAUGGCGGGUGAUCUGUCUGUGACAUCUGUCACCCCACUGACUGCCAGGGUUGAUUCCACUGAUCUGGAUGGUUAGGCAAUGUCCCCUUCCUCCCUCACCACUCCAUGGGAAUCCUUCCCAAAGCUGUGCACUUGGGAAGCCUGGGGCCUUCAAGCCCAAUUGUCCAAGUAUCCUGACAGUCCCCAACCCUCCUGGAAUAACCAGUUGUGGAGGACUUUGGGGAUGUCCAAGGCCCCCUGCUCCUCCUGGGUGUAAUUUCUGCUGGAAAGUGGGAGAGCCUGGGAGCAACAGGCUUGGAUAGUGUCCUGGAAUGUGCCCAGAGCCGUGCAGC
Molecule: small nuclear RNA, 335 nt
Filed under: Neotoma lepida (desert woodrat)
Lineage: Eukaryota; Metazoa; Chordata; Mammalia; Rodentia; Cricetidae
Description: 7SK RNA
Rfam family: 7SK RNA
About the family: 7SK was discovered as an abundant small nuclear RNA in the mid-70s but a possible function has only recently been suggested.
Source: Rfam by way of RNAcentral